RNAcentral lists this ribosomal RNA (497 nucleotides) under uncultured bacterium. Its description in RNAcentral is "partial 16S ribosomal RNA". It matches the Rfam family "Bacterial small subunit ribosomal RNA", at positions 28 to 507 of the family's 1533-position model. The record is from RNAcentral.
GAUGAACGCUGGCGGCGUGCCUAAUACAUGCAAGUCGAGCGAACAGACCAGGAGCUUGCUCCUCUGACGUUAGCGGCGGACGGGUGAGUCCCACGUGUAUAACCUACCUAUAAGACAGGGAUACCUUCGGCAAACCGGCGCUACUACCGGAUAAUAUAUUGCACCGCGUGGGUCAAUAGUGAAAUUCGGUUUUGCUGUCACUUAUAGCUGGAUCCGCGCCGCAUUCGCUAGUUGGUAAGGUAACGGCUUACCAAGGCACCGAUGCGUAGCCGACCUGACAGGGUGAACGGCCACACGGGAAGUGAGGCACGGCCCAGACACCUACGCGAGGCAGCAGUAGGGAAUCUUACGCAAUGGGGGAGAGCCUGACGGAGCAACGCCGCGUGAGUGAUGAAGGUGUUCGGAUCGGAAAACUCUGUUAGUAGGGAAGAACAAAUGUGUUAGUAACUAUGCACGUCUUGACGGUACCUAAUCAGAAAGCCACGGCUAACUACGUG